This 440-nucleotide ribosomal RNA is filed under the name uncultured bacterium. Its description in RNAcentral is "partial 16S ribosomal RNA". It matches the Rfam family "Bacterial small subunit ribosomal RNA", at positions 338 to 795 of the family's 1533-position model. The record is from RNAcentral.
CCUACUGGUGGCAUCAUUGGGGCAUCUUGCACAAUGGGGGAAACCCUGAUGCAGCGACGCCGCGUGAGUGAAGAAGUAAUUCGUUAUGUCAAGCUCUAUCCUCCGUUCCUCCCCUGACGGUACCUGAGUAAGAAGCCCCGGCUAACUACGUGCCAGCAGCCGCGGUAAUACGUAGGGGGCAAGCGUGAUCCGGAUUUACUGGGUGUAAAGGGAGCGUAGACGGCAGUGCAAGUCUGGAGUGAAAGGCGGGGGCUCAACCCCCGGACUGCUCUGGAAACUGUACGGCUGGAGUGCAGGAGAGGUAAGUGGAAUUCCUAGUGUAGCGGUGAAAUGCGUAGAUAUUAGGAGGAACACCAGUGGCGAAGGCGGCUUACUGGACUGUAACUGACGUUGAGGCUCGAAAGCGUGGAGAGCAAACAGGAUUAGAUACCCGGGUAGUC